GGGCAAAAAAGAGAGAGAGAACCUUAAUCCUUUAACCACCUUCUGCCCUCUCUCUUUCUCUCUUCAUUAAUGGCUUCCGUCCCUCAUUUCUACUCCAACUAUCAGUUUUCUCCUGAGGAAUUCUCAGAUAUUUCGUCCGUAAUUGCUCAAGAAAAUUAUGGUGGUAUAUUUGCUAGCACUUCAACUGCCAGAGUCUCAUGUGGUGCAAUUUCCACUACUGCUGGUGCAACGUUGGGCCAUGAGCAGAACCUUCCCUUUUUAUAUGAUAAUAAUGGAGGGCUUGAGGGUUUUCCAGUCGAGUCUGAUAUCUUGUCGCGGGUUUCAAUGACGACGACCCCUUUCCCUGAGCGACUUGGGGUUUCCGAGAUGGUUGUGCCCUCAUUGACGGACUACAAAAUGGGUUUUAGUGGCAUUGCCAAAAUUCACAACUUUGGAGGCGGAUUUCAAUAUUCGGAUACCUGUGAGUAUGGAGAGGAUUGCUGUGGAUUGGUGCAAAAUUUCAAGUCUGUCUAUCCUGAUUUUGGAGAAAAUUGGAGAAUUCAAUGCAAUCAAAUGCCAGCCAUGGAACACACCAAUAUAAGGGUAGGCCGGUAUACAGUGGAAGAAAGAAAAGAUAGAAUUCUAAGGUACUUGAAGAAGAGAAACCAAAGAAACUUCAAUAAGACCAUCAAGUAUGCUUGUCGCAAAACCCUAGCUGACCGGAGAGUUCGUGUCCGGGGAAGAUUUGCAAGGAACAAUGAACUAUGUGAAGACGAAAAUGGUGGGAAAAAGAGUGACAAUCCUCUCCAAGAAAAAGAAUCAUAUAGCAAUGAUGCCCUCGAGAUGAAGAAUGAUGAUGAUGAUUGGCUGCAAGAGGCUGUAGCAAGUCUAAUGUGUGUGCCAUAUAUAGCUGGGUGACCCAACUAAUUGGUUGUUUGGAAAAUGGACAGCGACUGAUGGAUAAAAGAUCGUUGGCUAUCACAAGCAACGUUUAAUUUGUGGAUGAUGGAUGGAUCAUGGACGUAGCAAGCUAAGCUAGCUAGAGGGAGUAGUAGUGUUAGGUUUAUGAAUCUUAACAUAUUUUCAUCAUAUUGGGUUGCUUUCAAUGCAAAUUGAAGUUAAAAAGAGAAAGAUUCACCUAACUAUCUUAGUAUAUAUAAUCUCCAACUCCUUUUUCACAUUAACAAUGACAUGAAAGUUUUGGAACAACUUUACAUUGUAAUUAAUGUUGUACAUGAUCAUAUUGAAGGCAUCUUGGGAUUUUU
This 1244-nucleotide unclassified non-coding RNA is filed under the name Hevea brasiliensis (rubber tree). The record is from RNAcentral. Lineage: Eukaryota; Viridiplantae; Streptophyta; Magnoliopsida; Malpighiales; Euphorbiaceae.